This 1050-nucleotide long non-coding RNA is filed under the name Monodelphis domestica (gray short-tailed opossum). RNAcentral describes it as "lncRNA (ENSMODG00000050715.1)". The record is from RNAcentral. Lineage: Eukaryota; Metazoa; Chordata; Mammalia; Didelphimorphia; Didelphidae.
GCAACAGCAAAUAACUUGUUUGUCUUUGAAGUUUCAUGUACCAGAAUAAUAAAAAAUUCUUAUCCCACCCUCUAGUCCCAGUGUGGAAGCCUGCUAUGAGUCAAACUUCCUGUGUCUUGUUCCCACUCUACUGGGAGAGGAGUAAAGUGAGGUCUAGAGAAAACAAGUGCCUGCAGGGAUGCCCUGACUGGAAGCUGGGAGGUCAAAGAUUCUCAUAAAAGAUGCCUCUGAGGGGCUAAGCCUGGAGCUGGAGACAUAGGGAAGGUAUGAUAGAGAAUCACUCUGACUGUCCUAGGGGGCGGUCCUCAUAAAAGGUGGUGAGGGCUGAGGGGAGAAAAAGGGACCAGACAGUAGAUUGAGGGCUGGCCCUCAGAUAGGGAAUAGAAGACAUUUAGCAAAGGUAUCCCAAUGAGGGCAAAAUCUGGGGCUAAUGUAAAAGAACAGGUCAGCUAAUUCUUGCAUCACAACAUAGGGGGAAGAGACAAAGCUGAGUAACCCCUUCACCCAAAGUCACUUCACCCUGUUGGCCUCAGUUUCCUUAUCUGUCAGAUGAGAUGGAGAAGGAAAUGACAAACCACUCUAGUAACUCUGCCUAGAAAACCCCAAAAGGGGUCAUGAAAUGUCGAAUAUGACUAAAUGACAACAAAAAGGAUCUUUACUCUUCUUGCCUAAGGUUACACAGCUAAAUUUGAGGCCAGAUUUGAACUCAGGUCUUCCUGACUCCAAGCUCUGUACACUAGCUGCCCUAGUAAACAUCUUGACCUGAAUCCCAUUCAAUGGGUUCUUACUCCCUCCAUUCCCUUCCCCCUCCCACACUUCCUAAGGUUUGGCAUCCCACCUGGUGGACUCUCAAACUACACAUUUUUACUUUUCUGGCCUCAGUUUUCUCUUCUGCAAAGUGACAAAGUUGGAUUAGCUGAUGAACUUAGUCCCUUCCAGCUCUGAUGAUUCCAUGAUAACAUAUCACUUUCCCUGAUCUCAAGGGAGGGGGAUAGAAUAUAUACAACACUAAGUAUGAGGCAUACUGUUACAUAUUAAAUGUACUAGAAA